UUCCACCCAAAUCUCUAUUUUUUGUUUCUUUCUAGAAAGGCACAGUUGUCUUACAGUCAUUACUUUGAAUUAAAACCACUAUUGAUGUAUUGGUAGAAAAAUAUAAGGAUUAUAAAGACAACAUGAGCCUCUUUCCCCAUUGAUUCCAAUUGAAGCAAUUCUAAAACUUAACCCUGGUAAGAUGGCCGCCAAGUGGUUCCAUCCUGGAAUGGCAAGUCAGAAUUACAUGUCAUAUCUAUUGUUCUAUAUCUAUGGACCAAACUGUCUGUGAGCU
Molecule: long non-coding RNA, 274 nt
Organism: Sander lucioperca (pikeperch)
Lineage: Eukaryota; Metazoa; Chordata; Actinopteri; Perciformes; Percidae
Exons: 3
Source: RefSeq, a predicted model, not a curated record